This 394-nucleotide ribosomal RNA is filed under the name Anterhynchium abdominale. RNAcentral's name for it is "partial 12S ribosomal RNA". The record is from RNAcentral. Lineage: Eukaryota; Metazoa; Arthropoda; Insecta; Hymenoptera; Vespidae.
AAACUAGGAUUAGAUACCCUAUUAUAAUAAAAUAGAAAUAAAUAUAUUAAAGUAUUAAAUGAUAAAUCAUUAAAUUUAUAAGAUUUGGCGGUAUUUUAUUCCAGUUAGGGGAACUUGUUAAUUAAAAUGAUAAUCCACGAUAAGAUUUACUUAAUUUAAUACUUAUGUAUUGCUGUUUUUAGAUGUAUUUUAAAAAUAUGAUUAUAAUUUAUUUUAUUAAAAUAAUUCAAGUCAAAAUAUAGUUUAGUUAAGAUUUAAUGAGUUACAAUAUUUUAUAAAUAUUACGGAUUUUAAAAUUUAAUUUUUAAAUGAAGGUGGACUUAAAAGUAAAAUUAAUAAAUUAAUUAAUUUGAAAUAUGGUUUUGAAAUAUGUACACAUCGCCCGUCGCUCUUA